GCGUGACCCGGAAGGAGGCGUGCCCUCGAGGGCGGGGCGCUCCCGGGGACCUGGGGCUGCUGCUCCCCGAGCCGUGCUUUGCAGAGGCAAGCGUCUAUGAUUUAAAUGCUAGCUUUGCCGCUUACUGGCUGAAAGACUUUAAAUGACAAUAACAAAAAAUGAAGAGGAUGAUGAUGAUGAUACAAGAUACCAUUGCCCGUGUGUACCAGACAUCAUGCUAAGUGAGUGCUACCCACAUCAUUUUUCUUUCUUUUCUUUUCUUUUCUUUUUUCUUUUUUUUUUUUUUUUGAUACAGAGUCUCGCUCUGUCACCCAGGCUGAAGUGCAGUGGCGCAAUCUUGCCUCACUGCAACCUCCACCUCUUGGGUUCAAGGGAUCCUCCCACCUGAGCCUCCUGAGUAACUGCGAUUACAGGCAUGUGCCACCAUGCCCCGCUAAUUGUUUUGUGUUUUUAAUGGAGAUGGGGUCUUACCAUGUUGGCCAGGCUGGUCUCAAACUCCUGACCUCAAGUGAUCCUCCCACCUUGGUCUCCCAAAGUGCUGGGAUUACAGGUGUAAGCCACCACGCCCAGCCUUUACCCACAUUAUUUCUUUUUUCUUUUUAGGAACAGGGUCUUGCUCUGUGGCACAGGCUAGAGGGCAGUGGCAAAUCAUAGCUAACUGUAGCUUUGAACACCUGGGCUCAAGCAAUGCUGCCACCUCAGCCUCCCGAGUAGCUAGGAUUAUAGGCGAGUGCCACCACACCUGGCUAACUUUUAAACAUUUUUUUUGUAGAGACGAGGGUCUCACUAUAUUGCCCAGACUCCUGAACUCAAGGGAUCCUCCUGCCUCAGCCUCCCAAAGCGCUGAGAUUACAGGAGUGAGCUUCCGCGCCCGGCCCCACAUCAUUUCUUUCACACAAACUCAAAUCUUUCUUGACCUCAAAGGGUUGUCCUGCAAAUCAAAAUCAAAUGAUGUCUCCAGGAGAAAGAGCUUAAUUCCCACCACCCUGAGAGUGGGCUGGAUGUCACGACUCGUGGGCGGAUCGCUUGAGGCCAGGAGUUCGAGACCAGCCUGGCCAACACGGCGAAACCCUGUCUCUACUAAAAAUACAAAAAAUUAGCCAGGCAUGGUGGCAUACGCCUGUAAUCCCAGCUACUCGGGAGGCUGAGACAGGAGAGUAGCUUGAACCCAGGAGGUGGAGGUUGCAGUGAGCCAAGAUUGUGCCACUGCACUCCAGCCUGGGUGACACAGCAAGACUCCAUCUCAAAAAAAAAAAAAUAAGUAAAUAAGAAAGAAAGAAAGGAAGGAAGGAAGGAAGGGAGGAAGGAAGAAGGAAGGAAGGAAGGAAGAAAAUGUAGGGUGGAUGCAGUGGCUCACACCUGUAAUCCCAGCACUUUGGGAGGCUGAGGUGGGUGGAUCGCUUGAGCCCAGGAGUUCAAGACCAACUUGGGCAAUGUGACAAAACCCUGUUUCUACAAAAAAAAAAAAAAAAAAAAAAAUUAUCCUGGUAUGAUGGCAUGCACUUCUAGUCCCAGCUACUUGGGAGGCUAGGGUGGGAGGAUUGCUUGAGCCCAGGAGGCAGAGGUUGUAGUGAACCAAGAUCACGCCACUGCACCCCAGCCUGGGCAACAGAGCGAGACUCUGUCUCAAAAAAAAAAAAAAAAUUAGCCUGGUGUGGUGCUACGAGACUGUAGUCCCUGCUACUCGGGAGGCUGAAGUGGGAGGAUCUCUUGAGCCCAAGAAGUCGAGGCUGCAGUAAGCUGUGAUCGUGCCACCGCACUCCAGCCUGGGCAACAGAGUGAGACUCUGUCUCAAAAAAAUUAAAAAU
This 1808-nucleotide long non-coding RNA is filed under the name Homo sapiens (human). RNAcentral's name for it is "HSALNT0395950". The record is from RNAcentral. Lineage: Eukaryota; Metazoa; Chordata; Mammalia; Primates; Hominidae.